RNAcentral lists this ribosomal RNA (254 nucleotides) under uncultured bacterium. Its description in RNAcentral is "partial 16S ribosomal RNA". It matches the Rfam family "Bacterial small subunit ribosomal RNA", at positions 524 to 776 of the family's 1533-position model. The record is from RNAcentral.
GACGUAGGGUGCAAGCGUUGUCCGGAAUUAUUGGGCGUAAAGAGCUCGUAGGCGGUGUGUCACGUCGGCCGUGAAAACCUGGGGCUUAACUCUGGGCGUGCGGUCGAUACGGGCAUCACUAGAGUUCGGCAGGGGAGACUGGAAUUCCUGGUGUAGCGGUGAAAUGCGCAGAUAUCAGGAGGAACACCGGUGGCGAAGGCGGGUCUCUGGGCCGAUACUGACGCUGAGGAGCGAAAGCGUGGGGAGCGAACAGG